GGCGGGAGUGAUGGUGGUGACGGCGGCAGAAGAGAGCACAGAAGAAGCCAUUUCGUUCUGCUUUUUUCCUUAGCUGCUAAUACGAGUACUAAUAAAGUAACA
Molecule: long non-coding RNA, 102 nt
Organism: Neltuma alba
Lineage: Eukaryota; Viridiplantae; Streptophyta; Magnoliopsida; Fabales; Fabaceae
Exons: 4
Source: RefSeq, a predicted model, not a curated record